Molecule: ribosomal RNA, 451 nt
Filed under: uncultured bacterium
Lineage: Bacteria
Description: partial 16S ribosomal RNA
Rfam family: Bacterial small subunit ribosomal RNA
Source: RNAcentral
UGGGGAAUAUUGGACAAUGGGCGCAAGCCUGAUCCAGCCAUGCCGCGUGAGUGAAGAAGGCCUUCGGGUUUGUAAAGCUCUUUUGUCCGGAAAGAAAUCCUGUCGGUUAAUACCCGGCGGGGAAUGACGGUACCGGAAGAAUAAGCACCGGCUAACUUCGUGCCAGCAGCCGCGGUAAUACGAAGGGUGCAAGCGUUACUCGGAAUUACUGGGCGUAAAGCGUGCGUAGGUGGUUCGUUAAGUCUGAUGUGAAAGCCCUGGGCUCAACCUGGGAACUGCAUUGGAUACUGGCGAUCUGGAGUGCGGUAGAGGGGUGCGGAAUUCCCGGUGUAGCAGUGAAAAUGCGUAGAUAUCGGGAGGAACAUCCGUGGCGAAGGCGGCACCCUGGACCAGCACUGACACUGAGGCACGAAAGCGUGGGGGAGCAAAACAGGAUUAGAUACCCUGGUAG